Molecule: ribosomal RNA, 585 nt
Filed under: Triticum aestivum (bread wheat)
Lineage: Eukaryota; Viridiplantae; Streptophyta; Magnoliopsida; Poales; Poaceae
Description: partial small subunit ribosomal RNA
Source: RNAcentral
AUGAUCAGUGUUGGGAAGACGAAGCAGUAUGCAAACGUUCUUGACAAGCCCCUCAGCCGAGGCAGACAGGAGGUCAGUUUGAGUGCAUUCGCAUUCUUGUUCUCGGAGGUGGUUCAAUACAACCAGACACAAGUUGACAACAUUGCUGACCUGGAACGAAGGCUGGAGGACGCUGGUUAUGCUGUUGGUGCUAGAGUUCUUGAACUGCUGUGUCACAGGGAGAAGGGGAAUAGACGAGAGACUCGACUGCUGGGGAUUUUAUCAUUCAUUCACAGCACUGUAUGGAAAGUACUGUUCGGAAAGGUGGCUGACUCGCUUGAGAAAGGAACAGAACAUGAGGAUGAAUACAUGAUUAGUGAAAAGGAGCUUCUUGUUAACCGGUUCAUUUCCGUGCCGAAAGACAUGGGGGCAUUCAACUGUGGAGCUUUUGUUGCAGGGAUUGUAAGGGGCGUAUUGGACAAUGCUGGUUUUCCAGCGGUAGUUACGGCACAUUUUGUGCCAAUUGAAGGCCAGCAGAGGCCCAGGACAACAAUCUUGAUUAAAUUUGCUGAAGAGGUUUUACGUCGGGAAUCAAGACUUGGCUGA